CCUACGGGUGGCUGCAGUGGGGAAUAUUGUACAAUGGGGGCAACCCUGCUCCAGCCAUGCCGCGUGUGUGAAGAAGGCCCUCGGGUUGUAAAGCACUUUCAGUGAGGAAGAACGCCUGGUGGUUAAUACCCAUCAGGAAAGACAUCACUCACAGAAGAAGCACCGGCUAACUCCGUGCCAGCAGCCGCGGUAAUACGGAGGGGGCGAGCGUUAAUCGGAAUUACUGGGCGUAAAGCGCGCGUAGGUGGCUUGAUAAGCCGGUUGUGAAAGCCCCGGGCUCAACCUGGGAACGGCAUCCGGAACUGUCAAGCUAGAGUGCAGGAGAGGAAGGUAGAAUUCCCGGUGUAGCGGUGAAAUGCGUAGAGAUCGGGAGGAAUACCAGUGGCGAAGGCGGCCUUCUGGACUGACACUGACACUGAGGUGCGAAAGCGUGGGUAGCAAACAGGAUUAGAUACCCGAGUAGUC
This 465-nucleotide ribosomal RNA is filed under the name Vreelandella stevensii. Its description in RNAcentral is "partial 16S ribosomal RNA". It matches the Rfam family "Bacterial small subunit ribosomal RNA", at positions 338 to 795 of the family's 1533-position model. The record is from RNAcentral. Lineage: Bacteria; Pseudomonadati; Pseudomonadota; Gammaproteobacteria; Oceanospirillales; Halomonadaceae.